GAUGAACGCUGGCGGCGUGCCUAAUACAUGCAAGUCGAGCGAACAGACGAGGAGCUUGCUCCUUCGACGUUAGCGGCGGACGGGUGAGUAACACGUAGGUAACCUACCUAUAAGACUGGGAUAACUUCGGGAAACCGGAGCUAAUACCGGAUAAUAUUUCGAACCGCAUGGUUCGAUAGUGAAAGAUGGCUUUGCUAUCACUUAUAGAUGGACCUGCGCCGUAUUAGCUAGUUGGUAAGGUAACGGCUUACCAAGGCAACGAUACGUAGCCGACCUGAGAGGGUGAUCGGCCACACUGGAACUGAGACACGGCCCAACCCCCUACGGGAGGCCGCAGUGGGAAAUCUUCCGCAAGGGGCGAAAGCCUGACGGAGCCACGCCGCGUGAGUGAUGAAGGUCUUCGGAUCUUAAAACCUUUUUAUUAGGGAAGAACAAACGUGUAAGUAACUGUGCCCGUCUGGACGGUACCUAAUCAGAAAGCCCCGGCUAACUACGU
RNAcentral lists this ribosomal RNA (496 nucleotides) under uncultured bacterium. RNAcentral describes it as "partial 16S ribosomal RNA". It matches the Rfam family "Bacterial small subunit ribosomal RNA", at positions 28 to 506 of the family's 1533-position model. The record is from RNAcentral.